Molecule: long non-coding RNA, 151 nt
Organism: Telopea speciosissima
Lineage: Eukaryota; Viridiplantae; Streptophyta; Magnoliopsida; Proteales; Proteaceae
Exons: 3
Source: RefSeq, a predicted model, not a curated record
AGUUCAAAUAGAGUCAUAUGGAAAGUGCCAAAAACACCUACAACAUGCUCAUCAAGCAUUUGCUUGGAAUAAACUCAAAGUUGCCUGGUUAGAUUGAAUAAUCAUCUCAGGAAGAUCAUAUGCACUACCUCCACCAGAAGUUAGGGGAAGG